This 580-nucleotide ribosomal RNA is filed under the name Annulatascus velatisporus. RNAcentral's name for it is "eukaryotic LSU rRNA". The stretch from base 195 to 348 matches the Rfam family "5.8S ribosomal RNA". Lineage: Eukaryota; Fungi; Ascomycota; Sordariomycetes; Annulatascales; Annulatascaceae. The record is from RNAcentral.
CGGAGGGACAUUACAGAGUUGUAAAGACUCCCAACCCUUUGUGAACCUCAUACCUUUUCCUUUCUUGGUUCCGGGGGGGGCCCCCGGGGAAGGGGCCACAGCCUCUUGGGUGAGGUGCCUGCCGGCGACCCACAAAACAAACUCUGUUGCUGUAACGUGUCACCUCUGAAUUACAAACCAUAAAAUCAAACCAAAACUUUCAACAACGGAUCUCUUGGUUCUGGCAUCGAUGAAGAACGCAACGAAAUGCGAUAAGUAAUGUGAAUUGCAAAAUUCAGUGAAUCAUCCAAUCUUUGAACGCACAUUGCGCCCGCCGGCAUCCCGGCGGGCAUGCCUGUUCGAGCGUCAUUUCAACCCUCAAGCACUGGUUUGCUUGGCGUUGGGGCACGCUACGGCCCAGCCCGUAAGCCCCAAAGUGAUCGGCGGGCUCGCAUCCGACCCCGAACGCAGUAAUGUUACAGCCUCCCUUUAGGGAGUCGGGCGGGUUUCCUUGCCGCUAAACACCCCCCCCCCAAUGGAAAUGUUGACCUCCGAUCAAGUAGGAAUACCCGCUGAACUUAAUCAUAUCAAUAAACGGAGG